AAAUAUUUAAAAUGCAAUCUGAUGAGGUCGACUCCUAACCUCAUCACAAAGCGAUGUAACUACCCGCUGGCAAUGAAAAUUCCAUUUAACACAAUUUCACCAGUGCUAUACUAGAUAUAAGCCGGACUAGUACCAAAUGUGUCCCCAAGUAAUGCAAAGGUAACCAAUUGACACCUUUUCGUCCCCAAGUAAUGCAAAGAAGCGACAGUUGUGCAUAAAUAAAAACCACAACGAAAAAACCAAACGAACAUUUGAAUGAGAUCUCUACGAACAAGAACCACUUUGAAUAGUUCUUUUCAGAUUACCAAUAAAAAAAACAAUGCACCGUUAUUCUUGAGGAAUGCAAGUGCGUUUUGUUUGGAAAAAGCAUUCUUAUUCUGAUCGUUGUGAAGUGAAGUAUCAUUUUUCUGUGCAAAUAAGUUAUAAAGUGUUGAAAAUAACAAAUAAAAAGGUCAAAUCAAAAUUUUAGCUGAUGCUUUAGCUGAGUUGAAGGUGAUGGUGCUACGAUCUCAAAGUGAUGAGAUACCAUUAUCGAAUAGGUUCCCCAUCACUUAUGAAAAAUAUUGAGAAUCAAUACAUAUAUGUAAAGAUUAUAGCAUCAAUUAUAAAAGGAGAGGAAACAUCGAAAUGUUUAAAAAUGUUAUCGGUUCAAAUAUAACUACGAGUAUAAUAUUGAGGGAAACCAUGGAAAAAAGUUUGAAGUCCCUAAGUAAUAUAUACAGCGUUAUUUUAGAUUCAAUACCAGUUACAGAAUAUUCGGACACCCCUGAAACACAACUGCGAAAAGCAAUACAAGUGCUUUUAUAAAUAUUAAAUUAAAUUUAUUUUUGUUCAAGUUUUAUAGAGUAAGGUAUAUUUGUAUUCAUUUGUUUGCAAUAAAAAAUGAAUUAAAA
This is a long non-coding RNA of Musca domestica (house fly), 893 nucleotides long. RefSeq lists it as uncharacterized. Lineage: Eukaryota; Metazoa; Arthropoda; Insecta; Diptera; Muscidae. The transcript has 4 exons. The record is from RefSeq and is a predicted model, not a curated record.